RNAcentral lists this unclassified non-coding RNA (322 nucleotides) under Hevea brasiliensis (rubber tree). Lineage: Eukaryota; Viridiplantae; Streptophyta; Magnoliopsida; Malpighiales; Euphorbiaceae. The record is from RNAcentral.
AAAGAAUGAAGCAAAUUUUUCCUGAAAAAUAUUAUUUCAGCUUAAGUAUUGAAUGCAACUAUUUGUUUACUGAAGUACAGGUGCAAGAAUAUCAAGCACUUAUCAAACUACACCAACCAAGAAUUUAAAGCAAGCUCUGCAUUAUAAACGCAGAAGCAGUGGCAGAUUUAGGCUCCUAAAUUUGAGGCAAUACGGAUCUAGACUAAAAUUUGUGGGAGUGCAAAUAUACUUAUAUAAAAUAAUUAACAUGAAAUCUAAAUAAAAUAUUCACAAUUAGAGAAAAAAAAAAUCUUUUAUUUAUUAUAAAUAAAUGUUUAUAAUU